Molecule: small RNA, 28 nt
Filed under: Bombyx mori (domestic silkworm)
Lineage: Eukaryota; Metazoa; Arthropoda; Insecta; Lepidoptera; Bombycidae
Description: ovarian small RNA-34232
Source: RNAcentral
UGCUGGUAGCGCGCUGCGCGGCCUCACC